RNAcentral lists this ribosomal RNA (253 nucleotides) under uncultured bacterium. Its description in RNAcentral is "partial 16S ribosomal RNA". It matches the Rfam family "Bacterial small subunit ribosomal RNA", at positions 524 to 776 of the family's 1533-position model. The record is from RNAcentral.
UACAGAGGGGGCAAGCGUUGUUCGGAAUUACUGGGCGUAAAGGGCGCGUAGGCGGCCUUCUAAGUCGAACGUGAAAUCCCUGGGCUCAACCCAGGAACUGCGUCCGAUACUGGAUGGCUUGAAUUCGGGAGAGGGAUGCAGAAUUCCAGGUGUAGCGGUGAAAUGCGUAGAUAUCUGGAGGAAUACCGGUGGCGAAGGCGGCAUCCUGGACCGACAUUGACGCUGAGGAGCGAAAGCUAGGGGAGCAAAUGGG